UCGGGGCGUAGCUCAGUUGGGAGAGCGCCCGAUUCUGGAUCGGGAAGUCGGCGGUUCGAAUCCGCCCGCCCGACCCA
This 77-nucleotide transfer RNA is filed under the name Acidobacteriota bacterium. RNAcentral's name for it is "Acidobacteria bacterium tRNA-Gln". It matches the Rfam family "tRNA". Rfam says of the family: Transfer RNA (tRNA) molecules are approximately 80 nucleotides in length. Their secondary structure includes four short double-helical elements and three loops (D, anti-codon, and T loops). The record is from RNAcentral. Lineage: Bacteria; Pseudomonadati; Acidobacteriota.